Molecule: ribosomal RNA, 255 nt
Filed under: uncultured bacterium
Lineage: Bacteria
Description: partial 16S ribosomal RNA
Rfam family: Bacterial small subunit ribosomal RNA
Source: RNAcentral
UACGUAGGCAGCGAGCGUUGUUCGGAAUUACUGGGCGUAAAGAGUGUGUAGGCGGUGCUCUAAGUCUGUCGUGAAAUCUCCCGGCUUAACCGGGAGGCUGCGGCGGAAACUGGUGUGCUAGAGGGUGGGAGAGGUAAGCGGAAUUCCUGGUGUAGCGGUGAAAUGCGUAGAUAUCAGGAGGAACACCUGCGGUGUAGACAGCUUACUGGACCACUUCUGACGCUGAGACACGAACGAGCGUGGUAGGCAAACAGG